AAUGUUUCGUCGAAUUCAUUUUGGCGCGAAACUCGUGCUGCGUAGUUUUUCAUCGAUUUCAAGUGAUUGAUACCAAAAAUAGUGCGUGAUUGAUACCAAAUUGAUAUUAUUGAGUCUAAUCAUACAAAAACUGUAAAAUAAUCACAAAUAUGUGAUACCUUCGAGUAUAAUUCGAGCAAUUUCCAACAGUGGCCGGUUACAAGGCAAAGAAGCCAACGCGAGAUAAAAUCCGAUCCGUACGAAGAGAUAAUCCUUCGAAGCGUAUGAUCGCGAUCGUACAUCCUGGACAGGCAGCAGGAAGGUCCUGCACAGCUACCGGAACAUGCAGAUUUAUGCUCCUUGGAACGUCACCGCUUCUUAGAUUAAUGGCCGUCCACGCUUUUUCCGCGUAGCCUUUCACCGUUGUCUGCUUCGCAAUGUAACAUCCUCUUUGCUAACGAAUCCUUCGAACAUCUAUUCGACUCUUUUCAUCUGCGCGUGAUUUCAGGUAAAGUAGUUCGGAGAAGCAGCAUCCAAAGUAGUAAUCCUUCAUCCUAAGUAUCAUGCUGAGUUUCUGAUCCUUGUCGACGAGCCCUCUGCAUGCAGCCCACAUGAGUGGUGACCAACAAGACCGAUCGCUUCUAUGUAAAAUAAUUUUCUCACGUAAGCCAGGUGGUCGAAGAGGAAGCGAGAAGAAAAAGAAGAAGAAAAAUACAUAGUAGCAACGACUUGGUCAUUCGAAUACCUGUGCUGGCACGUCAACUGCGCAACUUCCGUGCACCGCGUGUUAAAGCGCAACAACGAAGAAUGAAAAAGAACAGCUGGAACAGCUCGUGUCAAGCAAUUAGAAUACCCCUCCACGGACACUCGAUAUAUUCGAGAGAGAAUGCACGCGUGAACCAAUCGUGACACGCGUGCACAAUUUUUCUAACCACGUUCCGCAAAAGUCCAAAUCCUUUUCUCAACCGAGGCGCAAUAUUGGAUUCUGUUUUUCCGUUGUCUCGCGUGGACGAGCAAACGGUGCGCGAGGCUACUUGGGAUGCCGAGUCACGACUCGAAAUACGAGAUGUCGUGUAGGUAUGCGGCGAAAUGUGGUGGUCGGUUUUUAUUUCGCUGGCACGAUAACGUGAUCCCAACCUAUGAAAUCGAAAGAUGAGCAUCGAUGGAUAACGGGACACCGAGAAUGCUUGCACACUUUCGAUCAGGGCGAAUUCAAAAUUCUAGACGGGGUUCAGAGCUUUCGCGGAAUUGUCUAUUGUUUGACCACCCGCCAUUGUUUUCUUGGAAACUCUUCUCGUAUAAUUAUUUGGAUAUUUGUAGAAAAUGAAAUUAUUGGAAUGUUAUAAUUGUAAUUAAAAUAUUAGGAAAAUAUAUAAUAUAUUUUAUGUUCUUUUGGAACAUGUAUAUAUUUGUUAUUGAUAAUUAUAAAAUCAAUUUGUAUUUGAUCAAUUUUUGUAAUGUUAUUGUGAAAAUUCCUGUAUUCAAAAUGCCAAAGAAGUAUCGUCUAAAGAUUACAUUACAUUAACUAUAUAAAGUAUGCAUAUAACGAAAAUGAAAGUAAGAAAUUCAGAUAAUAAUCAGAUUAAUGAUCGGUAAAAUCUUUCAUAUAAAUAUAAUAUAAAUCGGUGUGAAUGUGUGUGCUAUGAAUGAUCACGUUCUGUCGAUAUAUAAUCCCUCGAAUACGUGUUAACACCCUGUAUAUUCUGCAUUCGAAUAAUUGUCGUAUACUAAGCAACGAGCAACGUUUUAUUGUAAUCUUAUAUGUAUCAAAUAAUUACAACGUAAUUACACCGUGUCUCUGUUCAAGAUCUAGAUUCAGAGAUCAGACUUUUCGCUAAACCACGCCCGCAAUCUCGUCGUCAAAACGAAAAAGAUCCAAGAAUCCGAAUACCACCGCGCCCAUUGCGGAUCCAAAUAAACGCGAGAGAACAGAGGCGAGGAAAACCGUUGGCCACGACUGUCCGCCGAUUUUACGAGACUCGAAGUAUCUCCAGUAUCUGCGGAAAGAACGCAGCGCCCGAAUGCGUAUAAACUGCGUCCAGAUAACUGUAUAAGUUGGCUCGAAUAUAGGCCAGUCGUUUCGUGUCGACGAACGCGAUUCCGCGGCACGAUUUCCGCGUUUUCCGCUUUCUGUUUGCUCGUAUUCAGCAUUCGAAUCCUCCCACGUAUCUCACUUUUAUCACCGAAACUGCUCAGAAGACGAUAAAACCGCGUACAGACUGGAAUGAUACGUAUGCGAGCAAUUUAUAUCAACAUAGAGAGUAGGUUGAACUGUAUUUCAACGAUUUAAUGACGGAACACCGAUAUAAGAUCCUAGAUAAAUAUUGGAUGCUGAAAGAAGACUGUGAAUUUGUAUUGGAUUUGUGUAUAAGAAAAAAAUUACGUUUUUUUUCGAAAUAUCAUAAAUUAUAUAGAAUUCUAUCCUAUUUUAUUUUUUAACCUCUUAAGAAACAAAAUAUUUUAUUUUAUUAAUAAUGUUAGUAAUAAAUAACUGUUUGGUUUUAUUAUUUUAAAUUGAAGAAUCGAUGAGUUAAUGAAUCUAUUUUACAUAUUUUUUCGUUUUAAAAUGAUUUAUUAUGUAAAAAAUUGUGUAUUUUCAAUAAUUUUUAAGCAAUUUUUUGCAUAUGAUUUUAUGUAAUAUAAAUUUAUAGUAAAUUCAUUUGAAGAAAUUUUCUCAAAAUGAAGUCGAAGCUCAAGCUGUUUCGAAAUUGCAACAAGUGCAUUUUGAAAUUGAAAGUGAUAUUGAAAAUUCAAGAGAAGAUGUUUCACAAAGUGCUGAAAUUGCAACAGGUGCAUGAUAAGAUUGGAUUGCUCUCAAACAAUUAAAACGUAAUAAGAAUUGUACAAAUUUUUAACAAUUAAAAAAUUAACUUUUAAUAAUUUAGUUUUAUCUCAAAAGGGAAUCUAAUAAUUCUCUUAAUGAUUAAUAAAAUUAUAAUAAAUUUUAUUUAUUAUAAUACAAUACAAUAAUUUAAUUAUAUUUAUAACUUACGGUAUAUUUUUCAUAAUUUUCUAGCAAUCGUUUCAAUCUGUACACGGAUUAAGGAAAUAACUUGCAUGAGAAUACCUGAAUCGGUAUUGUGGAUCGUUAAGAUUAUAGAACAAUUGAAACAGGAAUUUCACGUGAUUCGCCAUGAUUAGCUGCAACGCCCUCUUCAUUAUAAUGUAUAUUUAUCGCCGCCAUAUUUUUAGAUGGUACGCUCGAACAGACAUUUUUAUCGAAACAAUCACUAUUACGACCGAUUUGAUCUUUAUGGAUCGAAGAUGUUUCGUUCGCGGUUAUUGGAAUAUCGUGCUAUCCGAUUGAAUCGAUCGUUUCGGUUUAUAAACCUUGCGCGAAUUCGUAAAACUCGAACAACUUUGAAAUAACAGGUUAACCAUACCGAGAACUGUGUUAUUUCUGUGUAUACAAUGACGAGAAAUCAAGGCGAUGACAAUCGUCGAAUUGGAUUUUGAAAUUUGUUACAAGCUUUAUAAAUUUAUUUUCAUCGUUCCAACAUCGUGAUUUGCUAAGUGAUGAUCGAGAGUGAAAUAACACUUUCGACAAAUAAUAACGAACAAACGAAACUUCGUGUUCACGAUUCGACUUUAAGUGUAAGUGUUAAUUGGAAGAGUAAUAUUUCCUAAUUUCUCUGGGUUUAUCGACUAGAUAGUUGAAUAUCCGAAUAUCACGAAUCAAAAGAAGAUUUAGUAUCGAUGAUUAAAACUCGUCGAACGGAUGUAAUAUCAUUAAAAAUAAAACUGAUCUUGUUAAUCGAGGAUUGCUAUUACACGUUCUAUAAAAUCUAUUACUAUGUUGGUUUCUAUGUAAGAUCUUUCAAAUAAAUUUCACAGUCAAGUA
This is a long non-coding RNA of Apis cerana (Asiatic honeybee), 3820 nucleotides long. RefSeq lists it as uncharacterized. NCBI's taxonomy places the organism in Eukaryota, Metazoa, Arthropoda, Insecta, Hymenoptera, Apidae. The record is from RefSeq and is a predicted model, not a curated record.